This 481-nucleotide ribosomal RNA is filed under the name uncultured bacterium. RNAcentral's name for it is "partial 16S ribosomal RNA". It matches the Rfam family "Bacterial small subunit ribosomal RNA", at positions 356 to 854 of the family's 1533-position model. The record is from RNAcentral.
GGGGAAUAUUGCACAAUGGGCGAAAGCCUGAUGCAGCAACGCCGCGUGAGUGAUGAAGGUCUUCGGAUUGUAAAGCUCUGUCUUUUGGGACGAUAAUGACGGUACCAAAGGAGGAAGCACGGCUAACUACGUGCCAGCAGCCGUGGUAAUACGUAGGUGGCGAGCGUUGUCCGGAUUUACUGGGCGUAAAGGGUGCGUAGGCGGAUGUUUAAGUGAGAUGUGAAAUACCCGGGCUUAACUUGGGUGCUGCAUUUCAAACUGGAUAUCUAGAGUGCAGGAGAGGAGAAUGGAAUUCCUAGUGUAGCGGUGAAAUGCGUAGAGAUUAGGAAGAACACCAGUGGCGAAGGCGAUUCUCUGGACUGUAACUGACGCUGAGGCACGAAAGCGUGGGUAGCAAACAGGAUUAGAUACCCUGGUAGUCCACGCCGUAAACGAUGAGUACUAGGUGUAGGAGGUAUCGACCCCUUCUGUGCCGCAGUAA